GAGCUCUAUGUACCUCUGUCAUUGUAUGAGUCGCUUCCUUUUUGUGUAUGGCACCCCAACUCCCUUCGGCAGCAUCUACUAAUUAAGAACUUAACUUGA
RNAcentral lists this ribosomal RNA (99 nucleotides) under Triticum aestivum (bread wheat). RNAcentral's name for it is "partial small subunit ribosomal RNA". Lineage: Eukaryota; Viridiplantae; Streptophyta; Magnoliopsida; Poales; Poaceae. The record is from RNAcentral.